CAGAUCCUUGCGUCUUCUCUCGAAUUCGUAUCUACUUCUUCUCCGAUUCUUUAGUUUCGAGAUCCUUUGAUUGAUUGUUCUUUUUGUGGUCUUCUACAGAUUCCGUUCCUCCAUCGUUGUUCUUCCUCGCUCUCCCUCUCUCUCUCGGAAUCGCAGAUCUCUUCAGAACUUUCUAGGUUUACCGUCCUGAAAAAUCGCUUUAUCUCGUCGUGAUCGAUCAGUAACGAUUAUCACAGCAAUCGUGCGUAGCAGCUUGAGAUAUACUUAUAUUAGAGGUUGACAUGAGGUGCAACGCCUGCUGGAGGGAACUGCAAGGCCGUGCCAUUUCCACCACAUGUGGUCACUUAUUAUGUACUGAAGAUGCUAGCAAGAUUCUCAGUAAUGAUGGGGCCUGUCCCAUUUGUGAUCAAGUACUCUCCAAGAGUUUAAUGAAACCUGUGGAUACCAAUCCAAAUGAAGAAUGGGUAAAUAUAAGUUGUUGAGUUAAGAAUGGUGAUGGCUGGAAUUUCUCCACAAAUACUGAUGAAGAGUGCAUACCGAAGUGUAAUGUAGUGUAAUGUUUUACAUCUCGCAAAGAGACUUAGAGAUGCAGUACAAGAUGAAUAGAGUUGUUGCGCAGUGUCGUCAGAAAUGUGAGGGCAUGCAAGCAAAUUUUAACGAGAAAAUGGAGCAGGUACAUACAGCAUAUCAGAAGAUGGGAAAGAGGUGUCAGAUGAUGGAGCAAGAGGUAGAAAACUUGACCAAGGAUAAACAAGAGGUUGUAGCUGAAGGAUCAAAUUCAAGUGUUUUGAACCUGAGUGGAUAUAAGCACUAAUGGUCACAACCAGUAAGUGACUCUUUGUUUUUUAUAAGCUUACUGUCUUAGUAAGUAAAAUCUUAGGAGAAAGCUAGUAUUUGAGAAAUUGAAGAACUCUCGUCUCUAUAAAUAGUAAUGAUAAAUCAUAUAUUUUAGUAGAAUCAAUAUAGUGAAACUACUUACAAGGAUGUAAGAUGCGAGCAAAUAUAAAAAGACAUUUUUGUAAAAAGAAAGCCAAAAAAAAACAGUUAUAGGUAA
Molecule: long non-coding RNA, 1054 nt
Organism: Brassica napus (rape)
Lineage: Eukaryota; Viridiplantae; Streptophyta; Magnoliopsida; Brassicales; Brassicaceae
Exons: 8
Source: RefSeq, a predicted model, not a curated record